GAUAACUUUUGGAACUUAAGGCGAGCUAACAAACUGUCAAUUAACUGAUUGAUAAAUAAAAAAUAGGAAAUUAAGGGGAAGUAAACAAGUUUUAGUUUGUCCAAAUUGGGAUAAAUUUAUCAGUGGGGUUUAGGUGCGAUCUUCAUUGGAAUAGCCAUAUUUUUGUACUGUUAAUUAAUUAAGAAUAUAUCUUGGUUAGCCAAAAAGAAUGUUGUGAGUUCUGGUUCUAAUGCCACGAACAAUUUGGUAAAAAACAAAUGGUGUCUUCGCAAUUGGUUGGAAUAGAUGUUACUGACAACAGAGAGAUGUCUUCCUCCGUGCCAUUGGUCAAGGACAAAACUUAACCGAAUGUCGAUGUUAACAGCCUCUUAAGAAGGACGAACCAAAUAGCUAGAUGCGUCAAAUACUACGUAAUGGAGAUGAUGAUGACGACACUUGUACAAAGAUGUGCGCCCUUUCCAGCAGUUGAUGAACCUUUAUACUAUUGAUGGUGACGAAAAUAAAACAUGAACUAUGUAUACCGAAAUAUUGAACUUAUGAUUCGAAUGAACUAUGUGUAAAUAUAUCCAGAUAUUGGACUAGAAGAAUGUGAUGAACUUAUUAUAUCAUGAUAUUGGACUUAUAGAACUUUAUAAACUUAGAUAUGUGGUGAUGGUUACCGAAAACCUUACAAUAAACUAUUAGAAUAACCUACAGGAAGAAAAAUACCGUAUUUUAUUGAACUUUCGUUCUCUAAGAAUUGGAGGCAUUAUGUUACACAAUUGUGUACCAUUCAUUAAUUAUCAAGGAGUAUUAAUUAGGAAAUUUAUUAAAAAGGAAUUAA
This 823-nucleotide long non-coding RNA is filed under the name Mytilus galloprovincialis (Mediterranean mussel). Lineage: Eukaryota; Metazoa; Mollusca; Bivalvia; Mytilida; Mytilidae. The record is from RNAcentral.